Molecule: ribosomal RNA, 440 nt
Filed under: uncultured bacterium
Lineage: Bacteria
Description: partial 16S ribosomal RNA
Rfam family: Bacterial small subunit ribosomal RNA
Source: RNAcentral
CCUACGGGUGGCUGCAGUGGGGAAUAUUGCACAAUGGGGGAAACCCUGAUGCAGCGACGCCGCGUGAGUGAAGAAGUAUUUCGGUAUGUAAAGCUCUAUCAGCAGGGAAGAAAAUGCAGGUAGCUGACUAAGAAGCCCCGGCUAACUCCGUGCCAGCAGCCGCGGUAAUACGUCGGGGGCAAGCGUUAUCCGGAUUUACUGGGUGUAAAGGGAGCGUAGACGGCGCGGCAGGUCUGAAGUGAAAGGCAGGGGCUGAACCCCGGAACUGCUUUGGAAACUGCCAUGCUAGAGUGCGGGAGAGGUAAGUGGAAUUCCUGGUGUAGCGGUGAAAUGCGUAGAUAUGAGGAGGAACACCAGUGGCGAAGGCGGCUUACUGGACAAUAACUGACGUUGAGGCGCGAAAGCGUGGGGAGCAAACAGGAUUAGAUACCCGAGUAGUC